RNAcentral lists this ribosomal RNA (530 nucleotides) under uncultured Campylobacterota bacterium. RNAcentral's name for it is "bacterial SSU rRNA". It matches the Rfam family "Bacterial small subunit ribosomal RNA", at positions 914 to 1439 of the family's 1533-position model. The record is from RNAcentral. Lineage: Bacteria; Pseudomonadati; Campylobacterota.
CGGGGACCCGCACAAGCGGUGGAGCAUGUGGUUUAAUUCGACGAUACGCGAAGAACCUUACCUGGCCUUGACAUAGAAAGAAUUUAGCAGAGAUGUAAAAGUGCUAGUUUACUAGAGCUUUCAUACAGGUGCUGCACGGCUGUCGUCAGCUCGUGUCGUGAGAUGUUAGGUUAAGUCCUGCAACGAGCGCAACCCUCGUGUUUAGUUACUAACAGAUUAUGCUGAGGACUCUAGACAUACUGCCUGGGCAACCAGGAGGAAGGUGAGGACGACGUCAAGUCAUCAUGGCCCUUACGGCCAGGGCUACACACGUGCUACAAUGGGGUAUACAAAGAGCAGCGAUACCGCGAGGUGGAGCAAAUCUCAUAAAAUAUCUCCCAGUUCGGAUUACACUCUGCAACUCGAGUGUAUGAAGUUGGAAUCGCUAGUAAUCGUAGAUCAGCAAUGCUACGGUGAAUACGUUCCUGGGUCUUGUACUCACCGCCCGUCACACCAUGGGAGUUGAAUUCAUUCGAAGCGGGGAUGCUAAA